RNAcentral lists this ribosomal RNA (1466 nucleotides) under metagenome. RNAcentral's name for it is "bacterial LSU rRNA". It matches the Rfam family "Bacterial large subunit ribosomal RNA", at positions 1474 to 2925 of the family's 2925-position model. The record is from RNAcentral.
UGAGAAGGUUAACUCAGCCAGGUGUUGGAUGUCCUGGUUCAAACGUGUAGACGUGCUGCUUAGGUAAAUCCGGGUGGCUUAGUUGAGGCGUGAUAACGGAACACUCUUCGGAGUGCCAAGUGAGUGAUACCCUGCUUCCAGGAAAAGCCACUAAGCUUCAGUCUUAUUUCGACCGUACCGCAAACCGACACAGGUGGGCGGGAUGAAUAUUCUCAGGCGCUUGAGAGAACUCAGGAGAAGGAACUCGGCAAAUUAGCAACGUAACCUCGGGAGAAGGUGCGCCCCAAGUCAGUGAAGUCCCUCGCGGAUGGGGCUAAACGGGGUUGCAGUGAAAUGGUGGCUGCGACUGUUUAAUAAAAACACAGCACUCUGCAAACACGAAAGUGGACGUAUAGGGUGUGACGCCUGCCCGGUGCUGGAAGAUUAAAUGAUGGGGUGCAAGCUCUUGAUUGAAGUCCCAGUAAACGGCGGCCGUAACAAUAACGGUCCUAAGGUAGCGAAAUUCCUUGUCGGGUAAGUUCCGACCCGCACGAAUGGCGUAACGAUGGCCACACUGUCUCCUCCUGAGACUCAGCGAAGUUGAAAUGUUUGUGAAGAUGCAAUCUACCCGCGGCUAGACGGAAAGACCCCGUGCACCUUUACUGUAGCUUUGCAUUGGACUUUGAUGGGAUUUGUGUAGGAUAGGUGGGAGACUAUGAAGCUGGGACGCUAGUUCCAGCAGAGUCGACGUUGAAAUACCACCCUGAUGUCAUUGAGGUUCUAACCCAGGUCCAUUAUCUGGAUCGGGGACCGUGCAUGGUAGGCAGUUUGACUGGGGCGGUCUCCUCCCAAAGUGUAACGGAGGAGUGCGAAGGUACGCUAGGUACGGUCGGACAUCGUGCUGAUAGUGCAAUGGCAUAAGCGUGCUUGACUGCGAGACUGACAAGUCGAGCAGGUGCGAAAGCAGGUCAUAGUGAUCCGGUGGUUCUGUAUGGAAGGGCCAUCGCUCAACGGAUAAAAGGUACGCCGGGGAUAACAGGCUGAUUCCUCCCAAGAGUUCAUAUCGACGGGGGAGUUUGGCACCUCGAUGUCGGCUCAUCACAUCCUGGGGCUGUAGCCGGUCCCAAGGGUAUGGCUGUUCGCCAUUUAAAGUGGUACGUGAGCUGGGUUUAAAACGUCGUGAGACAGUUUGGUCCCUAUCUGCCGUGGGCGUUGGAUAUUUGAGAGGGCCUGCUCCUAGUACGAGAGGACCGGAGUGGACGCACCUCUGGUGUACCGGUUAUGACGCCAGUCGUAUCGCCGGGUAGCUAAGUGCGGAAGAGAUAACCGCUGAAAGCAUCUAAGCGGGAAACUCGCCUCAAGAUAAGAUAUCCCGGGAACUUGAUUCCCCUAAAGGGUCGUUCGAGACCAGGACGUUGAUAGGUCGGGUGUGGAAGCGCAGUAAUGCGUUAAGCUAACCGAUACUAAUUGCCCGUGUGGCUUGAUAC